This 290-nucleotide ribosomal RNA is filed under the name uncultured bacterium. Its description in RNAcentral is "partial 16S ribosomal RNA". It matches the Rfam family "Bacterial small subunit ribosomal RNA", at positions 773 to 1060 of the family's 1533-position model. The record is from RNAcentral.
GUGGAUUAGUUACCCCAGUAGUCCACGCCGUAAACGAUGAUAACUAGCUGUCCGGGGACUUGGUCUUUGGGUGGCGCAGCUAACGCAUUAAGUUAUCCGCCUGGGGAGUACGGUCGCAAGAUUAAAACUCAAAGGAAUUGACGGGGGCCUGCACAAGCGGUGGAGCAUGUGGUUUAAUUCGAAGCAACGCGCAGAACCUUACCAGCGUUUGACAUGUCCGGACGACUUCGAGAGAUCGAUUUCUUCCCUUCGGGGACUGGAACACAGGUGCUGCACGGCUGUCGUCAACU